AACGAACGCUGGCGGCGCGCUUAACACAUGCAAGUCGAACGAGAAGGCGUAGCAAUACGCUGGUACAGUGGCGAACGGGUGAGGAAUACAUGGGUAACCUACCCUCGAGUGGGGGAUAACCCGCCGAAAGGCGGGCUAAUACCGCGUACGCUUCCGAUCUUGCGGGAUCGGAAGGAAAGCUGUCCCAAGGGGAUGGCGCUCAAGGAUGGGCUCAUGUCCUAUCAGCUUGUUGGAGGGUAACGGCCUACCAAGGCAUCGACGGGUAGCUGGUCUGAGAGGACGAUCAGCCACACUGGCACUGCGACACGGGCCAGACUCCUACGGGAGGCAGCAGUGAGGAAUAUUGCGCAAUGGGCGAAAGCCUGACGCAGCGACGCCGCGUGGGGGAGUGAAGGUCUUCGGAUUGUAAACCCC
RNAcentral lists this ribosomal RNA (414 nucleotides) under uncultured bacterium. RNAcentral's name for it is "bacterial SSU rRNA". It matches the Rfam family "Bacterial small subunit ribosomal RNA", at positions 29 to 433 of the family's 1533-position model. The record is from RNAcentral.